RNAcentral lists this ribosomal RNA (253 nucleotides) under uncultured bacterium. RNAcentral's name for it is "partial 16S ribosomal RNA". It matches the Rfam family "Bacterial small subunit ribosomal RNA", at positions 524 to 776 of the family's 1533-position model. The record is from RNAcentral.
UACGGAGGGUGCGAGCGUUGUUCGGAAUCAUUGGGCGUAAAGGGCGUCUAGGUGGCCAGUCAAGUCAGAUGUGAAAUGCCUCGGCUCAACCGAGGAAGUGCAUUUGAAACUGGCUGGCUCGAGUGUCGGAGGGGGCAGCGGAAUUCCCGGUGUAGAGGUGAAAUUCGUAGAUAUCGGGAGGAACACCAGCGGCGAAGGCGGCUGCCUGGCCGACUACUGACACUAAAGCGCGAAAGCGUGGGGAGCAAACAGG